UUCGGCAGAAGAUUCUUUCUUGAGGGGCAAGUUGAGACGAGGAGGAGAUAGGUGCGUUUUGGGACGUGUUGCUGUGGAGAUAUUUUGAGGGUGAGUUUCUUUCUUGGCCGCAAGAGAGCCAGACGGGGAGGGGAGAUUCUUUCUGGAAGGACAAGCUAGAGCUUAGAGAGGGAAGAUGCAGACUGGUUUCCUGGAGAUAGCUGAGAGGGAAAACAAGAAGAGAGGUGAGAGUUUGCAGCUUGCUGGGAACCAAGUGAUUUUGCUAAAAGGGUGACAUUCGGGUUUGAUCAUCUCCCGCUUUAGGUUUUUCACUUUUACAAUCAUACUUUACUCAUUGCUGAGGUUUGAAUGCUUGUUUUUUUUUACUACCUAAGAUGUUAAGCUUGUUUUUCAUUUCUGUUUGCCUGAUCUCUGUUUCUUCCCCCAUGAGUUGUAUGAUGAUUGUGUUAUCUGUUUGCAUUUUGAGACCAUUCAAACUUUCCCACCAGGUUUUUUUCUUAGCUUUUUUAUUUUCAUGAAAUGGAGUUGGGUUUAAUGGUAUUAUCCUCCCUUAUGCAUGCUCUGUUUUACUUCAUGGUGUCCUCUGUUUCUGGUUCUUCUUGGGUGAUUAGAUACCAUGUUUUGGGUUAAUUGUUUGAAUGAGGCUGUAUCUGAGAAGACUCAACGUCAGAGUUUUGGGAGAUAUUGUCAUGUUUGUGUGUUAGGUGAGUUGAAGGUUAUCCAGCAAGUAUGGCAUGAAGAAGAUCAGUUCUUAACAGGAUGUGAUGUUGCUUAUCUUGAUGGAGAAGACGAAAAUAACAUAGUCCAGUGAAGAAAUCCAUUCCAAUGUCAUCUCUACUCCGAUCAGAUGUUGAAAGAGGAACCUCUCCAGAUAGAUGAUAGAACGCUUCCUUCUCAAAUGUCAGAAUUCUGGGUAUAGAAGGUACUCCCUGACGUAUGGCCAAGAAAUUGGCGAACAUGCUGCCUUUAAUUCAAGGAAAUGAGAUUCCCCUGACUUCGCAUUAUGAAAGGAUUAAAAGUCUGGUUAGCCAAGUUGAGACAGCUUAUGGAGUUUUAGAGAGAAGCUAAAGAGAGAAAGACUCUGAAGAGACCAGCGUUUGUGUUUUGUGU
RNAcentral lists this long non-coding RNA (1110 nucleotides) under Vitis vinifera (wine grape). RNAcentral describes it as "long non-coding RNA (VVIN_LNC006543)". Lineage: Eukaryota; Viridiplantae; Streptophyta; Magnoliopsida; Vitales; Vitaceae. The record is from RNAcentral.